Molecule: ribosomal RNA, 446 nt
Filed under: Pinalitopsis rhodopotnia
Lineage: Eukaryota; Metazoa; Arthropoda; Insecta; Hemiptera; Miridae
Description: partial large subunit ribosomal RNA
Rfam family: Bacterial large subunit ribosomal RNA
Source: RNAcentral
GACUGUACAAAGGUAGCAUAAUCAUUUGUCUUUUAAUUGAAGGCUGGCAUGAAAGGUUGGAUGAGAAAUAUACUUUCUUUAUUUUAUAAUAAAAACUUAAUUUUUUGGUUAAAAAGCCAAAAUGUUUUUAUAGGACGAGAAGACCCUAUAGAGCUUUAUUUUCUUUUUAUAUAAGUUUUUUAGUAUAUUAAAAUAUUAUAUAUUUUUGUUAAUUUUGUUGGGGUGACAGGAAAAAUUAUAUAACUUUUUCUAUUUUUUACAUAAAUUUAUGUUUUGUAUGAUCCUUUAAUAUGGAUAAUAAGAUUAAGCUACCUUAGGGAUAACAGCGUUAUUUCUUUGUAGAGUUCUUAUCGAUAAAGAAGUUUGCGACCUCGAUGUUGGAUUAAAAUAAGUGACAGGAGUAGGAUAUUGUUUGACUAGGUCUGUUCGACCUUUAAAUUUUUACA